Molecule: long non-coding RNA, 1801 nt
Filed under: Daphnia magna
Lineage: Eukaryota; Metazoa; Arthropoda; Branchiopoda; Diplostraca; Daphniidae
Description: uncharacterized LOC116916973
Source: RNAcentral
GCACGCGUACUCGAACAGCUGGUCGGAACACGAAUCGCCGCAGGAAACAUGUGACGUCAGUUUAAAAACAUUUCGAAAACAAAUAUCAAUUUUAAGAUGACCGACCGACGAUAUUAAGCAAAAAACAAAAAAACAAACGAGAACGAGUGCGGUCGAUUAUCGGCAAUAACCUUUGAUAUGAUUUACGAACGCGUUUCCAAUUGAGAGCAGAGUCUCCCUAAAUUGAUGAAAACGUCGAGGGCCAUCUUCUUUUGUCACAGUCGUUCGAACAUUCCACAGAUCCCAUCUACGUCUCUCUUUCUCGCUGAAGUGGUCCCUUCAUGAACGGAAAAUCUUUUCCAUGUAAAUAAAUAGGGAAAAAAGCCAACCCACACGUGCCCUACCGGCAAGUAGGAACAACCACCAGCAUAACCAAUUUCAAGCUCAAACGAGUUCAGUUGGUUUGAUCGUGUGCACGCUUGUCAGACGUGCUGUGUUGGUUUUUUUUUCUACCCAAACUUUUCUCGUCUUCUUUCGUUAUCCGUCAGGCUGUUGAUUCCAGCCAACGCCAUCUAACGCUUAGAAAGUGCUACAACGUUUUGAAAGCCAUCUGUUGCUGGGACUUGGCGACACACAGAAAGCGAGAGUAACAGGCAGCCAAACCAGAUGGACGGACAGACGGAUGAAACAGACGGACAAACAUGCAGCGAGAGAGUGAGAAUCAGGACCCACCUGAUGACGUCGGCUGUAGUGAUGAUGACGAUUGCGGAUCACGUUGUGACUGAUGGGAUGGACGACGUUGCCACUGUCGUCGUCGUUGGACGUUUGGGCCGAAUGCAACGACGGACUAGGUGAGCUUAGUUGCUGCAGAGAAAUGGACGGCUGGACUUGAUUGACUUCGGAGAGAGGGGACGCCUCGCCGGCAGAAGCGCUGACGCCACAAACGAUGGAUGUUGACGUUCCAGCCUCGUCGUUGCUGCUGAAUCCCAACUCCGUGCCGUACACCGAAUGGACAAAUUUCCACAAUUCCUGAUUACCCAACGGCUGCAAAUGUCGGAUCGUUUUUGUUUUUCCCGUUAGUUUCGUGUUGUCCGAAAGAGGAGAAACAGAGCCGCCGACGGUGACGACCACGAACGAACGAAGGCGUGUGAAAAACACAAAAAACAAAAAACAAAAAAAAACCAACGAACCGAGACGGAAGCGUCGUAACCAAUCAGAGAGAAAUGAGAGUGAGAGAAAAAAUCAUCCACGAUUGUGGUGGGGAAAGAAGGAAGUAAAAUGGAAAGUAGAAUAAAACAAAACACAAAAAAACUCUCGACUUUCGACUCCAACCCCUACAGCCCCCCCCCGUUUUGCUGCACUGGCCUCAAAAACUAGCCAAUAGAUGGUAGUGACUGUGUCGGUUGGCGACCGUUUUGUUGGUGCUCACAACAAGCUGGGAUGCGCCAUCAAUUCAGGCAAAAGAAGCAUCAAAGAGUUACGGGGCUCUAGUGGUGUGGUAGUAGCCUAUGUAUAAUGCAAGUAAAAAGAAAUCAAUACAAACCUGAUCAAGAAGAGCUUGCUGCCAAGUUCUGAAGAGGACGACGUAGGUUUUGUCACGGGCACCAAAAGAACAGAAAAAAUGCUUAUCCGCAUCGGUGCAGAUCUGGAUUGCAUUCGGGAUCACCAGAGCCGUCUUUUCUUUUGUUAGCGAAGACACUUCUUUCCAUCGAAGUUGCACCUUUUUUAUUUUAUUUUUUUUCGAUUUUCAAGUCAAAAGAGAGAAAACGUAAAAGGGAAAUUGAUCAGAUUAAUGGGAAUCAAUAAAUCGCGAUUGAUUUUU